Molecule: ribosomal RNA, 1123 nt
Filed under: uncultured bacterium
Lineage: Bacteria
Description: bacterial SSU rRNA
Rfam family: Bacterial small subunit ribosomal RNA
Source: RNAcentral
AUUGAUUUUAUGCUUGCAUAAAUGAUUUUUGGAUUCGGAGCGAGUGGCGAACUGGUGAGUAACACGUGGGUAACCUGCCCCGAAGCGGGGGAUAACAUUUGGAAACAAGUGCUAAUACCGCAUAAUUAGUUGGAACCGCAUGGUUCCAACUUGAAAGAUGGCUCUGCUAUCACUUUGGGAUGGACCCGCGCCGUAUUAGUUAGUUGGUGAGAUAAAAGCCCACCAAGACGAUGAUACGUAGCCGACCUGAGAGGGUAAUCGGCCACAUUGGGACUGAGACACGGCCCAGACUCCUACGGGAGGCAGCAGUAGGGAAUCUUCCACAAUGGACGAAAGUCUGAUGGAGCAACGCCGCGUGAGUGAUGAAGGUUUUCGGAUCGUAAAACUCUGUUGUUAAAGAAGAACAAGUGUUAGAGUAACUGUUAACACUUUGACGGUAUUUAACCAGAAAGCCACGGCUAACUACGUGCCAGCAGCCGCGGUAAUACGUAGGUGGCAAGCGUUGUCCGGAUUUAUUGGGCGUAAAGCGAGCGCAGGCGGUUUUGUAAGUCUGCUGUGAAAGCCCUCAGCUCAACUGAGGAAGUGCAGUGGAAACUACAAAACUUGAGUACAGAAGAGGAAAGUGGAACUCCAUGUGUAGCGGUGAAAUGCGUAGAUAUAUGGAAGAACACCAGUGGCGAAGGCGGCUUUCUGGUCUGUUACUGACGCUGAGGCUCGAAAGCAUGGGUAGCGGACAGGAUUAGAUACCCUGGUAGUCCAUGCCGUAAACGAUGAAUACUAGGUGUUGGAGGGUUUCCGCCCUUCAGUGCCGCAGCUAACGCAUUAAGUAUUCCGCCUGGGGAGUACGACCGCAAGGUUGAAACUCAAAGGAAUUGACGGGGGCCCGCACAAGUGGUGGAGCAUGUGGUUUAAUUCGAUGCUACGCGAAGAACCUUACCAGCUCUUGACAUCUUCUGCCAACCCAAGAGAUUGGGCGUUCCCUUCGGGGACAGAAUGACAGGUGGUGCAUGGUUGUCGUCAGCUCGUGUCGUGAGAUGUUGGGUUAAGUCCCGCAACGAGCGCAACCCUUAUUAUUAGUUGCCAGCAUUUAGUUGGGCACUCUAGUGAGACUGCCGGUGAUAAA